Molecule: transfer RNA, 65 nt
Filed under: Pseudotrapelus sinaitus (Sinai agama)
Lineage: Eukaryota; Metazoa; Chordata; Lepidosauria; Squamata; Agamidae
Description: tRNA-Pro
Source: RNAcentral
CAAAAGAUAGUUUAAUUGAAAAUGCUGGUUUUGGGGGCCAGUGAUGGCGUAUUUGCCUCCUUUGA